RNAcentral lists this ribosomal RNA (1071 nucleotides) under Trichoderma harzianum. RNAcentral describes it as "SSU rRNA". It matches the Rfam family "Eukaryotic small subunit ribosomal RNA", at positions 51 to 1134 of the family's 1831-position model. The record is from RNAcentral. Lineage: Eukaryota; Fungi; Ascomycota; Sordariomycetes; Hypocreales; Hypocreaceae.
GUCGCAUGUCUAGUAUAGCAUUAUACCGCGAAACUGCGAAUGGCUCAUUAUAUAAGUUAUCGUUUAUUUGAUAAUACUUUACUACUUGGAUAACCGUGGUAAUUCUAGAGCUAAUACAUGCUGAAAAUCCCGACUUCGGAAGGGAUGUAUUUAUUAGAUUAAAAACCAAUGCCCCUCGGGGCUCUCUGGUGAAUCAUGAUAACUAGUCGAAUCGACAGGCCUUGUGCCGGCGAUGGCUCAUUCAAAUUUCUUCCCUAUCAACUUUCGAUGUUUGGGUAUUGGCCAAACAUGGUGGCAACGGGUAACGGAGGGUUAGGGCUCGACCCCGGAGAAGGAGCCUGAGAAACGGCUACUACAUCCAAGGAAGGCAGCAGGCGCGCAAAUUACCCAAUCCCGACACGGGGAGGUAGUGACAAUAAAUACUGAUACAGGGCUCUUUUGGGUCUUGUAAUCGGAAUGAGUACAAUUUAAAUCCCUUAACGAGGAACAAUUGGAGGGCAAGUCUGGUGCCAGCAGCCGCGGUAAUUCCAGCUCCAAUAGCGUAUAUUAAAGUUGUUGUGGUUAAAAAGCUCGUAGUUGAACCUUGGGCCUGGCUGGCCGGUCCGCCUCACCGCGUGCACUGGUCCGGCCGGGCCUUUCCCUCUGCGGAACCCCAUGCCCUUCACUGGGUGUGGCGGGGAAACAGGACUUUUACUUUGAAAAAAUUAGAGUGCUCAAGGCAGGCCUAUGCUCGAAUACAUUAGCAUGGAAUAAUAGAAUAGGACGUGUGGUUCUAUUUUGUUGGUUUCUAGGACCGCCGUAAUGAUUAAUAGGGACAGUCGGGGGCAUCAGUAUUCAAUUGUCAGAAGUGAAAUUCUUGGAUUUAUUGAAGACUAACUACUGCGAAAGCAUUGGCCAAGGAUGUUUUCAUUAAUCAGGAACGAAAGUUAGGGGAUCGAAGACGAUCAGAUACCGUCGUAGUCUUAACCAUAAACUAUGCCGACUAGGGAUCGGACGAUGUUACAUUUUUGACGCGUUCGGCACCUUACGAGAAAUCAAAGUGCUUGGGCUCCCGGGGGAGAAUGGUCCCAA